ACUUAUGACAAACUGCAUACAAAAAUAUAUUUUUUCGUAUUCGAUUUAUGUCGUUACUAUUUAAUUGUUGUGUUAAUUCUAAAGGAGAGUUAACAAUUUCUUGUAUGCAGAGUUUGUAAUGGACCAAUCGUUUGUCGUACAAGUAAGACGUUUCAUAGAAGUUUUCGAGUGAAAAUAAUAAUAAUUAAUAACUAUUAUUAUGUUAUAGAAUAUAAAUUGAAGACGAUUAUAAUAUUAACCAAACAUUGCAAACCAAAUUCACUGAAUACAACAAAAUAAUUCAUAAAGUGUUGAAUAUUGGCUUUAUGAUAAUGGUAUUUUUUUUUGUUAAUCAUAAUAUUUAUACAAAAUAUGGACAAAACAUCAGCGACAGCACCGAUAAAGGUAAGUCACAACUGAAAAUGUAUUUCGUACGUCUGUAAGACAAACUUCUAGGCCCGUAAGUAGGUAGUAUUAUUCGGUUCUAUCCCCGUUUUUAAAAUUACAGGGAAAUUAACUAUUAUUAUGUUAUAGAUUGAAGACGAUUAUAAUAUUAAACAAACAUUGCAAACUGAAUACAACAAAAUGAUACAUAAAGUAUUGAAUAUUGGCUUUAUGUUAAUGGUAUUUUUUUUUUGUUAAUCAUAAUAUUUAUACAAAAUAUGGAGAACAAAACAUCAGCGACAGCACCGAUAAAGUGAACUGUAUAAGAAAAAUGGGAAAAUAUAUGCGUCAAAAAUGGCAAAUCAGAACUUCAACACCCGAACUUCCAGAAGUGAUCCCGACAUAUCCGGAAACACAACAACCUGAGCCUGAAAAACCUAGUUCUGAAACUCCCGGAGAAGAA
This is a long non-coding RNA of Aphis gossypii (cotton aphid), 826 nucleotides long. RefSeq lists it as uncharacterized. NCBI's taxonomy places the organism in Eukaryota, Metazoa, Arthropoda, Insecta, Hemiptera, Aphididae. The record is from RefSeq and is a predicted model, not a curated record. The transcript has 2 exons.